Piliocolobus tephrosceles (Ugandan red Colobus) is the source of this 119-nucleotide ribosomal RNA. Lineage: Eukaryota; Metazoa; Chordata; Mammalia; Primates; Cercopithecidae. The record is from Ensembl.
GUCUGUGGCAAUAGCACCCUGAACACGCCCAAUCUUGUCUGAUCUUGGGAGCUAAGUGGGGUCGGGCCUGGCUAGCACUUGGAUGGGAGACUGCCUGGAAAUAUUGCAUGCUGUAGGCU